UUCGCAAUGCCCGAAAGGGUGACGAAGCGACGUCGCGUGGGUGAUGAAGGCCCUUGGGUCGUAAAGCCCUGUCAAGAGUUAUGAAAGCAGCUUGCUGCUUGACAAAGGCUCUAAAGGAAGUCACGGCUAACUCUGUGCCAGCAGCCGCGGUAAUACAGAGGUGGCAAGCGUUGUUCGGAAUUAUUGGGCGUAAAGAGCGCGUAGGUGGGUUUGUAAGUCAGAUGUGAAAGCCUUCUGUUCAACGGAAGAAUUGCAUCUGAAACUGCGAGUCUUGAGUGUAGGAGGGGAGAAUGGAACUUCUGGUGGAGCGGUGAAAUGCGUAGAUAUCAGAAGGAACGCCGGCGGCGAAAGCGAUUCUCUAGUAUGUAACUGACACUGAGGCGCGAAAGCUAGGGGAGCGAACGGGAUUAGAUACCCCGGUAGUCCUAGCCGUAAACGAUGGGCACUAAGUAGAGGGGUUU
This 461-nucleotide ribosomal RNA is filed under the name uncultured Planctomycetales bacterium. RNAcentral describes it as "bacterial SSU rRNA". It matches the Rfam family "Bacterial small subunit ribosomal RNA", at positions 365 to 831 of the family's 1533-position model. Lineage: Bacteria; Pseudomonadati; Planctomycetota; Planctomycetia; Planctomycetales. The record is from RNAcentral.